RNAcentral lists this long non-coding RNA (1165 nucleotides) under Helianthus annuus (common sunflower). Lineage: Eukaryota; Viridiplantae; Streptophyta; Magnoliopsida; Asterales; Asteraceae. The record is from RNAcentral.
AUGUUUUUUGCAUGUAUUUUCCAUACUUGUACUAUUUAACAAAUAUUUGUGUUGGUGUAUUAUUUUACUAUGAUAAUUUUUUUGAACGGAAACGAAUAAAUCAUUAUUCAGAAAAACAACCAGUGGGGAGCUGAUUGCUUUUGGAAAGAAAGAAAACACAACAAUACAAGACAUCAAACAAAACCAAAAAAUUACCCAGCCUCUUUGAAAGGGUUGUUGGACCAGUCUUCUCAAUCCAGAGAUGAUUCGUUGCCUCUGUUUUUUCAUCCAAGAAUAAGCUUGCACCUUAAUAUCCUUGAAAGCUUUAUUCGCAUUAGUCAUUUUAUUAGCAAAAAUCCAAUCAUUUCUUAUUUUCCAAAUCAGCCAUAAUGUAGUGUACAAGAUUAAGGUCCUAAACUUUCUUUCUCUUUUGAAAAGGUUACGAGCAUACGUCCCUUUGAGCAACUGAGAAAUGUUGGUCACCGAAAGAAGUUACUGGAUGACCACCGCCGAAUUCUGCACCAAAUCUCCUUCGCAAAUGGGUAGGCAAGGAAAUGAGGGCCGGCCCGUAAGGCUUAUAAACCUAGGCUAAGGCCUAGGGCCACCAAAAAAUAAGGGCCUCCAAUUUUGUUUCUGUUAAAAAUAUUGCCUAGUGGGCUUAUAUAUUAUCAUCCAUUGGUCUGUUGGAAUGGGCUUAUAUAUUAUCAUUCAUUGGUUUGGGCUGUUAUUGAUUUGUUAUUGGAUCUGUUAUUGGGCUUAACUAACGUUUAUGUUUAGUUGUUGGGUUGUUACAGAUGCAAAAUAUCUUCAAGGGGUUUUGUGUAAAUACAAGGACUGGAUGUGCUGAUUCUUUAAAGUUUUGGGUUAAAGUUGGAGUUAUCAAGUUACAUCCUAUUUAAGGGUUUGAUCUUCUUUGAUUAGUUCAGUUGAUCAGAUUACUUUCUCUCUCUUGUUGUUGUAACCUUCUAGGGUUUGUACGAAUAAUCUCUCUUCUGAAAUUAGAGAGAUUAUUCUUCUGUUGUUGUUGUAUUCUUGUUCUGAUGAUCAUCAGUGGAUGAUCAUCUUUGUACUGCUGUAUUUGUGGUUGAUUAGAUCUUACAGUUGUAAGAUCAUUUGGGUAUUUAGGGGGCAAAUCUUUUGGGUUGGUUUAAUAAGAGUUUUGUCACCUGUUUUGUCGCUAUUUCUU